CAUCCCGGGUUCGCUUACACAUGCAGUCGAACGGCAGCACAGGAGAGCUUGCUCUCUGGGUGGCGAGUGGCGGACGGGUGAGGAAUACAUCGGAAUCUACUCUGUCGUGGGGGAUAACGUAGGGAAACUUACGCUAAUACCGCAUACGACCUACGGGUGAAAGCAGGGGACCUUCGGGCCUUGCGCGAUUGAAUGAGCCGAUGUCGGAUUAGCUAGUUGGCGGGGUAAAGGCCCACCAAGGCGACGAUCCGUAGCUGGUCUGAGAGGAUGAUCAGCCACACUGGAACUGAGACACGGUCCAGACUCCUACGGGAGGCAGCAGUGGGGAAUAUUGGACAAUGGGCGCAAGCCUGAUCCAGCCAUACCGCGUGGGUGAAGAAGGCCUUCGGGUUGUAAAGCCCUUUUGUUGGGAAAGAAAUCCAGCUGGCUAAUACCCGGUUGGGAUGACGGUACCCAAAGAAUAAGCACCGGCUAACUUCGUGCCAGCAGCCGCGGUAAUACGAAGGGUGCAAGCGUUACUCGGAAUUACUGGGCGUAAAGCGUGCGUAGGUGGUCGUUUAAGUCCGUUGUGAAAGCCCUGGGCUCAACCUGGGAACUGCAGUGGAUACUGGAAGACUAGAAUGUGGUAGAGGGUAGCGGGAAUUCCUUGUGUACCAAUGAAAUGCUUAAUAUCAGGAGGUACAUCCAUGGCGGAAUGCAUCUUACCUGGACCAACAUUGACACUGAGGGACUAAAGCGUGGGGGAGCAUCAAGGAUUAUAUACCCCUGGAAGGCCACGCCCUAACAAUGCAAACUUG
This 797-nucleotide ribosomal RNA is filed under the name Stenotrophomonas maltophilia. RNAcentral describes it as "bacterial SSU rRNA". It matches the Rfam family "Bacterial small subunit ribosomal RNA", at positions 36 to 819 of the family's 1533-position model. Lineage: Bacteria; Pseudomonadati; Pseudomonadota; Gammaproteobacteria; Lysobacterales; Lysobacteraceae. The record is from RNAcentral.